RNAcentral lists this ribosomal RNA (460 nucleotides) under uncultured bacterium. RNAcentral describes it as "partial 16S ribosomal RNA". It matches the Rfam family "Bacterial small subunit ribosomal RNA", at positions 338 to 795 of the family's 1533-position model. The record is from RNAcentral.
CCUACGGGGUGCAGCAGUGAGGAAUAUUGGUCAAUGGGCGCGAGCCUGAACCAGCCAAGUAGCGUGAAGGAUGACUGCCCUACGGGUUGUAAACUUCUUUUAUAAAGGAAUAAAGGGAGGCAGGGGGGCAUUUUGGUAUGUAAUUUAUGAAAAAGGAUCGGCGAACACCGUGCCAGAAGCCGCGGUAAUACGGAGGAUCCGAGCGUUAUCCGGAUUUAUUGGGUUUAAAGGGAGCGUAGAUGGGUUGUUAAGUCAGUUGUGAAAGUUUGCGGCUCAACCGUAAAAUUGCAAUUGAAACUGGCAGUCUUGAGUACAGUUGAGGUAGGCGGAAUUCGUGGUGUAGCGGUGAAAUGCUUAGAUAUCACGAAGAACUCCGAUUGCGAAGGCAGCUUACUAAACUGCCACUGACAUUGAUGCUCGAAAGUGUGGGUAUCAAACAGGAUUAGAUACCCGGGUAGUC